This 547-nucleotide long non-coding RNA is filed under the name Homo sapiens (human). RNAcentral describes it as "non-protein coding lnc-APTX-2:7". The record is from RNAcentral. Lineage: Eukaryota; Metazoa; Chordata; Mammalia; Primates; Hominidae.
AGCGCCGGAAGCGGUGAGGCACAGAUGAGUAACGUGAAUUUGUCCGUCUCCGACUUCUGGAGAGUGAUGAUGCGGGUGUGCUGGUUGGUGAGACAGGACAGCCGGCACCAGCGAAUCAGACUUCCACAUUUGGAAGCAGUUGUGAUUGGGCGUGGCCCAGAGACCAAGAUCACUGAUAAGAAAUGUUCUCGACAGCAAGUUGAAAGCAGAGUGUAACAAGGGAUAUGUCAAGGUAAAGCAGGUAGGUGUAUUUAUAACUUGGAAUUUUAUACUCGAUGAUUUUCUUAUGCUGUUGACUUUAGAGUGUCUGUGCCAGCCAGUGAAGGCUUCUCUGUCAUGUAUGGAAGUGAUGGAGUAAUAUAGGUGAACAUAAGGCAAGGUGCUUGGCAUAUAGUAAGUGGUUAACAUAGCAGUGGCUAUCUUACUGUAGGUGCUGUUGCUAUUAUUAUAAUUAUUUUCUGAUUGUUUAUUCCAUAGGUAGGAGUCAAUCCCACCAGCAUUGACUCAGUCGUAAUUGGGAAGGACCAAGAGGUGAAGCUGCAGCCUG